GACGAACGCUGGCGGCGUGCUUAACACAUGCAAGUCGAACGGAAAGGCCCUGCUUUUGUGGGGUGCUCGAGUGGCGAACGGGUGAGUAACACGUGAGUAACCUGCCCUUGACUUUGGGAUAACUUCAGGAAACUGGGGCUAAUACCGGAUAGGAGCUCCUGCUGCAUGGUGGGGGUUGGAAAGUUUCGGCGGUUGGGGAUGGACUCGCGGCUUAUCAGCUUGUUGGUGGGGUAGUGGCUUACCAAGGCUUUGACGGGUAGCCGGCCUGAGAGGGUGACCGGCCACAUUGGGCCUGAGAUGCGGCCCAGACUCCUACGGGAGGCAGCAGUGGGGAAUAUUGCACAAUGGGCGGAAGCCUGAUGCAGCAACGCCGCGUGCGGGAUGACGGCCUUCGGGUUGUAAACCGCUUUCGCCUGUGACGAAGCGUGAGUGACGGUAAUGGGUAAAGAAGCACCGGCUAACUACGUG
RNAcentral lists this ribosomal RNA (468 nucleotides) under uncultured bacterium. RNAcentral's name for it is "partial 16S ribosomal RNA". It matches the Rfam family "Bacterial small subunit ribosomal RNA", at positions 28 to 507 of the family's 1533-position model. The record is from RNAcentral.